This 759-nucleotide ribosomal RNA is filed under the name uncultured bacterium. RNAcentral's name for it is "bacterial SSU rRNA". It matches the Rfam family "Bacterial small subunit ribosomal RNA", at positions 577 to 1334 of the family's 1533-position model. The record is from RNAcentral.
GGUUUGUCGCGUUGUUCGUGAAAUCUCACGGCUUAACUGUGAGCGUGCGGGCGAUACGGGCAGACUUGAGUACUGCAGGGGAGACUGGAAUUCCUGGUGUAGCGGUGGAAUGCGCAGAUAUCAGGAGGAACACCGGUGGCGAAGGCGGGUCUCUGGGCAGUAACUGACGCUGAGGAGCGAAAGCGUGGGGAGCGAACAGGAUUAGAUACCCUGGUAGUCCACGCCGUAAACGGUGGGUACUAGGUGUGGGUUUCCUUCCUUGGGAUCCGUGCCGUAGCUAACGCAUUAAGUACCCCGCCUGGGGAGUACGGCCGCAAGGCUAAAACUCAAAGAAAUUGACGGGGGCCCGCACAAGCGGCGGAGCAUGUGGAUUAAUUCGAUGCAACGCGAAGAACCUUACCUGGGUUUGACAUGCACAGGACGCCGGCAGAGAUGUCGGUUCCCUUGUGGCCUGUGUGCAGGUGGUGCAUGGCUGUCGUCAGCUCGUGUCGUGAGAUGUUGGGUUAAGUCCCGCAACGAGCGCAACCCUUGUCUCAUGUUGCCAGCGGGUAAUGCCGGGGACUCGUGAGAGACUGCCGGGGUCAACUCGGAGGAAGGUGGGGAUGACGUCAAGUCAUCAUGCCCCUUAUGUCCAGGGCUUCACACACGCUACAAUGGCCGGUACAAAGGGCUGCGAUGCCGCGAGGUUAAGCGAAUCCUUUUAAAGCCGGUCUCAGUUCGGAUCGGGGUCUGCAACUCGACCCCGUGAAGUCGGAGUCG